Zophobas morio is the source of this 1700-nucleotide long non-coding RNA. RefSeq lists it as uncharacterized. The transcript is spliced from 5 exons. NCBI's taxonomy places the organism in Eukaryota, Metazoa, Arthropoda, Insecta, Coleoptera, Tenebrionidae. The record is from RefSeq and is a predicted model, not a curated record.
CCUUGAGCACCAUAAUAUUUUGAUAUUCAGGAUCUUUAUCGGUCCUGGUCACCUCUAUGGCAGCAAUUACUGACGUCCGGUUAAUAUUCCUACUUAUACUAUAUUUGUUGCCAUUCCUUAUGUAACUUAAUAAAGUAAUAUCUAUGUAAAGUUCAGUUUUAUUAAAGUUAGCUGUUAAGUGCUUUGAUCUUGUAUUCGUGUCAGUAAUUAUAUAAUAGUAACCAUCGUAAGAAGUUAUACCCCAUUGUAGUAUGUCUACAUAGAGGAGUUGAGUGAGAAGUUUGAGUAUAUGCCCUUCAAUCUUGGACAGGUUUUUUUUUAAUUGACCUGUCUUUCAUAUUUCAUGUUCUUUGCAGGUAAACGGGUUUUAUAUUUGGAUAAUUUUGUUUUAUGUAUUUAUAAAUUGCCUAUCCAUAUAAAGUAUGUUCGCCAGAAAUUUCUUUGAUUUGAAGCGGUUGUUGCUUUGGGUGUUAAUUCCAAUAUUGCCGUUAAGUAUUGUGAGUGAGUUCAAAUAUUUCCUUUCUCCUUAUCCCUUCUUUAAUUUAUUGAACUUUACUAAUUAUUACUUUAACCACUUUCAUUUAGCUUUGUAACAGAGCAAAUAUUUCUCAUUUUCGGAUUCAAAGUAGCUUUAUUUUAUUAAAAAAGUUAUAUAACCUACUUGUUGGCCUUUCUUUGUUAACUGAAGGUGUUUACAGAAGUUGAUUCUUGUUUGAUGUUAUUAAGUAGGUCUUUAAUCUGAGAUUAUACGUGGGUAUGCUGCUGAGUUCGAUAAUGUAGUUUGUUACUGUUUUUUGAAGAUUGUAAUAGGCGAACUAGACCCUCAGUUUUAUGCAGGAGAGGAUAAUGAAGUACGACGUUUUUCCCCACAUCUUUGACAAUAUAGUAAUUUAAGUUUUGAUGGUUUUGAGUUUGUUUUAUGGAUUAGAUCAACAUAUUUCGUUUUGCUCUGCUUUUGGUCAUCAUACAGAUAAAAAUUCAUUAUGAUAAGGAAAGGUUUGCGGAUUACUGUUUUGGUACUCUGUCGUAAUUCUUUAGACGAAGUCAAAGUCAAGACCAUCUUUUAGUUGCAGAAAGUUUUGUUCUGCGGUGAAAGCUUGUUUUCCAUACCCACCCCUAAGUCGAUAUGUCACUGCAUGAGUUUUCAACAUGUCUACCAGUCUAGAUAAGGCAGGCUUAAGGUUCACAGGUGUCUGAGCUUUCAAUAAAGUUAGUGGAGAGUGUGUUUCAAAUACGUCUCGAAACACCUGAAUCGCUUUUUCCAGAGCGAAGUCUAUACAUUGGGUAAACGACGGUAGCACUAACUCAUUAUCCUUGAGCCACCGGUCGAAUCAUAGAAUUGACUAAAGAAAUCUUUGCUUAAUUAACUCAGGAUUAAAGUUUAAAGAUUAGUGCUUGUGUUGUACUAUAUAUGAUCUUCGAACUGUGUAUACUAUGGUACCUGUACUAUACUGUUCUCUUAGCCAGCUUGAGGCUGGGAGUGAGUUUUACCCGUAUGCUCCUUGUUCUCAGGCUUGCUUGGACCGGUGCGGAAUAGUGUUAGCUACUAUGCUUAGGUUGCUCCUAGCGUGGUACUAGCACUACCCUGGAUAGUGCUACUACGUAGUAUACGUAUAGAUAAAGCGCGGCGAGCCGGUUAUGGUUUUGAUUGAGUCAAUUUCUUUGUUAGUGAGAGAUUUUUAGUCAUGGUGCUAAUAACG